Molecule: transfer RNA, 72 nt
Filed under: Marmota monax (woodchuck)
Lineage: Eukaryota; Metazoa; Chordata; Mammalia; Rodentia; Sciuridae
Also listed under: 1 other name
Rfam family: tRNA
About the family: Transfer RNA (tRNA) molecules are approximately 80 nucleotides in length.
Source: Rfam by way of RNAcentral
GUGGUUGUGGCUCAGUGGUAAGAGUGCUUGCCUAGUGCGUGUGAGGCCCUGGGUUCGAUCCUCAGCACCACA